CCAAUACAAACCAAGAUAUUGUCAUUUAGAUUUCACACACGGCGAGCGUUGGUGUUUUUAGUGGAAGAGUGUUGAAAAAACUGUAUACCACGGUCUAGAUUUCGGCAAACAGCCUCGCCGGAUUGCAGCUACUAUCUUAAGUUUUUCAUCGCGCGGCUUCAAUAAAUGCCCGGGGUGGGAUUGGAUGGAAAAAAAACUGAUGAGAUCUUGGAAAAGAACCUACUCCCUAGCAGCAGUCCUCCUUAAGAUUCUUGUUCUUCACACAACCACGUAAUUCUGUGGAACAUCACAUUCAUCCAAACAAAAUGAAAUGGUUGGUGUUCUACGGUUUAGAAC
Molecule: non-coding RNA, 336 nt
Organism: Caenorhabditis elegans
Lineage: Eukaryota; Metazoa; Nematoda; Chromadorea; Rhabditida; Rhabditidae
Source: Ensembl